AACGACUAGGGGCACCAAGCCAGCCGGUGGAUGGCUCGGCUCGGGCGCUGACGAAGGGCGCGGCAAGUGGCGAAAUGCCCGGG
This 83-nucleotide ribosomal RNA is filed under the name Saccharolobus solfataricus. RNAcentral describes it as "partial 23S rRNA". It matches the Rfam family "Archaeal large subunit ribosomal RNA", at positions 1 to 81 of the family's 2987-position model. The record is from RNAcentral. Lineage: Archaea; Thermoproteati; Thermoproteota; Thermoprotei; Sulfolobales; Sulfolobaceae.